CUUUAAAGGUCCUGAAGGAACGUUGAAGACGACGACGUUGAUAGGCCGGGUGUGUAAGCGCAGCGAUGCGUUGAGCUAACCGGUACUAAUGAACCGUGAGGCUUAACCUUACAACGCCGAAGGUGUUU
RNAcentral lists this ribosomal RNA (128 nucleotides) under Escherichia coli. RNAcentral's name for it is "partial 23S ribosomal RNA". The stretch from base 1 to 110 matches the Rfam family "Bacterial large subunit ribosomal RNA", at positions 2818 to 2925 of the family's 2925-position model. Lineage: Bacteria; Pseudomonadati; Pseudomonadota; Gammaproteobacteria; Enterobacterales; Enterobacteriaceae. The record is from RNAcentral.